AAGGAGAUAUAUUUGUUUCAAUAGUAAUUCAUCAAAACCAUUGAAAAUAUAUUUGAAACAAAUCGAAUUAAUUUACAUUAAACAGUCUGGUUCCCCUUAAUCGAGUAUCAAUUAUAUUAACCAGACCGGUUUUACUGGUCAAAUUAAUAAGUCAUAUAUUUAGACUUGGUAUUAUCUACAUGUGAACCUGUAAAUGACAUAAUCAGACUUCACUUUCAUAUAUAAUACAUUUUUUAUAUUUUAUGGUUAAUUUAGAUAUAUAGAUAUGGAUAUAUAUAUAUAUAUAUAACACAUAUAUUAUGUCGAUACUUAAGCCAUAUAUAUUAGAAAUUAUGAAUCAGAUAAAAGU
This 349-nucleotide long non-coding RNA is filed under the name Brassica napus (rape). Its description in RNAcentral is "long non-coding RNA (BNAP_LNC010082)". The record is from RNAcentral. Lineage: Eukaryota; Viridiplantae; Streptophyta; Magnoliopsida; Brassicales; Brassicaceae.